GACGAACGCUGGCGGCAUGCCUAAUACAUGCAGGUCGAGCGAACAGAUGAAGUGCUUGCACUUCUGACGUUAGCGGCGAACGGGUGAGUAACACGUAAGGAAUCUACCUAUAAGCGGGGGAUAACAUUCGGAAACGGGUGCUAAUACCGCAUAAUAUCUUCUUCCGCAUGGAAGAAGAUUGAAAGACGGCUCUGCUGUCACUUAUAGAUGACCUUGCGGUGCAUUAGUUAGUUGGUGGGGUAAUGGCCUACCAAGACGAUGAUGCAUAGCCGACCUGAGAGGGUGAGCGGCCACAUUGGGACUGGGACACGGCCCAAACUCCCACGGGAGGCAGCAGUAGGGAAUCUUCCGCAAUGGGCGAAAGCCUGACGGAGCAAUGCCGCGUGAGUGAAGAAGGCCUUCGGGUCGUAAAACUCUGUUAUAAGAGAAGAACAAGUUGUAGAGUAACUGCUACAGUCUUGACGGUAUCUUAUCAGAAAGCCACGGCUAACUACGUGCCAGCAGCCGCAGUAA
RNAcentral lists this ribosomal RNA (513 nucleotides) under uncultured bacterium. Its description in RNAcentral is "partial 16S ribosomal RNA". It matches the Rfam family "Bacterial small subunit ribosomal RNA", at positions 28 to 523 of the family's 1533-position model. The record is from RNAcentral.